RNAcentral lists this ribosomal RNA (484 nucleotides) under uncultured bacterium. RNAcentral describes it as "bacterial SSU rRNA". It matches the Rfam family "Bacterial small subunit ribosomal RNA", at positions 30 to 507 of the family's 1533-position model. The record is from RNAcentral.
AUUGAACGUUGGCGGCAUGCCUUACACAUGCAAGUCGAACGGUAACAGGGAGCUUGCUCCGCUGACGAGUGGCGAACGGGUGAGUAAUGUAUCGGAACGUACCAUUCAGUGGGGGAUAACGUAGCGAAAGUUACGCUAAUACCGCAUAUUCUGUGAGCAGGAAAGCAGGGGAUCGCAAGACCUUGCGCUGAUUGAGCGGCCGAUAUCAGAUUAGCUAGUUGGUGAGGUAAAGGCUCACCAAGGCGACGAUCUGUAGCGGGUCUGAGAGGAUGAUCCGCCACACUGGAACUGAGACACGGUCCAGACUCCUACGGGAGGCAGCAGUGGGGAAUUUUGGACAAUGGGGGCAACCCUGAUCCAGCCAUGCCGCGUGAGUGAAGAAGGCCUUCGGGUUGUAAAGCUCUUUCGGCCGGGAAAAAAUCGCAUCAGUUAAUACCUGGUGUGGAUGAUGGUACCGGAAUAAGAAGCACCGGCUAACUACGUG